This is a non-coding RNA of Chrysemys picta bellii (western painted turtle), 637 nucleotides long. The record is from RefSeq and is a predicted model, not a curated record. NCBI's taxonomy places the organism in Eukaryota, Metazoa, Chordata, Testudines, Emydidae.
GUUGGUUGCACUGUCUCCAUGAAGGGGUGGGGGGUUCCCCACCUGCCAGGACACCUGGGCUGGGUUUGGCUCGGCUCUUGGGGCCAUGGCUAGAGAUACCUGCCCUGACAGGCAAGAACCUGUCCAAGCGUCGAGAGGGCAAAGCAAAGGCAGCGGCUCCAGGGAGCACCAAAGGAGGGGCCCAGCCGUUGAAUGUUUAAGAAAUGACAGUAACGCCUGCCCAGAGCGACCGCUCAUGGAAGUUGGCAGAAGUGGUGGCUUGGAGGAGGUGGUGUCUCUGCAAAGCAGUUUUUGGCUACUCGGAUAAAGGAGAGGCGUGAGGAGCCUCGGGAACAGGACAGAGAGGAGCGAGCAGCGGCCAGGGAGGCCUUGUGGGAAGAGGCAAAGGCAGGACAGGGCCACAGAGGAAGAAGCCGAGAGGGAGCAGGUCCUCCAGGUGGAGCACGGCCAGAGCACGGGUGGGGCCACGGUCCAGGUGCUGGUACCGCCCCUUUCGCGGGACCUUCCAAGACCAGCCCGGCCGGUCUCCAGAGAGAGAGACGCCCCAUCCAGCAUUUCCUGCCACCCACAUCUGCAUCGCCUCAUCUUCCCUCCAGUGCACCCACUGCCCCACAUCCCCCAGGGGCGGAUUACUGCA